RNAcentral lists this ribosomal RNA (660 nucleotides) under uncultured bacterium. RNAcentral describes it as "bacterial SSU rRNA". It matches the Rfam family "Bacterial small subunit ribosomal RNA", at positions 55 to 723 of the family's 1533-position model. The record is from RNAcentral.
ACGGAACGCCAAGGAAAGAGUUUUCGGACAAUGGAAUUGGUUGUUUAGUGGCGGACGGGUGAGUAACGCGUGAGUAACCUGCCUUGGAGUGGGGAAUAACACAGUGAAAACUGUGCUAAUACCGCAUGAUAUAUUGGUGUCGCAUGGCACUGAUAUCAAAGAUUUAUCGCUCUGAGAUGGACUCGCGUCUGAUUAGAUAGUUGGCGGGGUAACGGCCCACCAAGUCGACGAUCAGUAGCCGGACUGAGAGGUUGGCCGGCCACAUUGGGACUGAGACACGGCCCAGACUCCUACGGGAGGCAGCAGUGGGGAAUAUUGGGCAAUGGGCGCAAGCCUGACCCAGCAACGCCGCGUGAAGGAAGAAGGCUUUCGGGUUGUAAACUUCUUUUAACAGGGACGAAGUAAGUGACGGUACCUGUUGAAUAAGCCACGGCUAACUACGUGCCAGCAGCCGCGGUAAUACGUAGGUGGCAAGCGUUAUCCGGAUCUACUGGGUGUAAAGGGCGUGUAGGCGGGACUGCAAGUCAGAUGUGAAAACUAUGGGCUCAACCCAUAGCCUGCAUUUGAAACUGUAGUUCUUGAGUGUCGGAGAGGCAAUCGGAAUUCCGUGUGUAGCGGUGAAAUGCGUAGAUAUACGGAGGAACACCAGUGGCGAAGGCG